UCAAAGAUUUAACCAUGCAAGUGAAAGUAUAUAUAUAUUUUAUAUGUAGAAACUGCGAACGGCUCAUUAAAACAGUUAUAGUCUACUUGACAUUUUUAUUAUAAGGAUAACUACGGAAAAGCUGUAGCUAAUACUUGCUUUAUUAUCCUUUGAUUUUUAUCUUUGGAUAAGUAUUUGUUAAGCCUUAUAAGAAAAAAGUUAUUAACUUAAGGAAUUAUAACAAGGAAGUAACACGUAAUAAAUUUAUUUUAUUUAGUGUGUAUCAAUCGAGUUUCUGACCUAUCAGCUUUUGAUGUUAGGGUAUUGGCCUAACAUGGCUAUGACGGGUAACGGGGAAUUAGAGUUCGAUUCCGGAGAGGGAGCCUGAGAAAUAGCUACCACAUCUAAGGAAGGCAGCAGGCGCGUAAAUUACCCAAUUCUAAAGAAGAGAGGUAGUGACAAGAAAUAACAAUGCAAGGCCAAUUUUUGGUUUUGUAAUUGGAAUGGUGGGAAUUUAAAACCUUCCCAGAGUAACAAUUGGAGGGCAAGUCUGGUGCCAGCAGCCGCGGUAAUUCCAGCUCCAAUAGCGUAUAUUAAAAUUGUUGCAGUUAAAACGCUCGUAGUUGAAUUUCAAAGAAUCGAUAUUUUAUUGUAACUAUUCUAGGGGAACUAUUUUAGCUUUUCGCUUUAAUACGCUUCCUCUAUUAUUAUGUUCUUUAAAUAACAAAGAUUCUUUUUAAAAUCCCCACUUUGCUUUUGCUUUUUGGGGAUUUUGUUACUUUGAGUAAAUUAGAGUGUUCAAAGCAAACAGUUAAAGCAUUUACUGUGUUUGAAUACUAUAGCAUGGAAUAACAAAAUUGAACAAGCUAAAAUUUUUUGUUCUUUUUUCUUAUUUUGGCUUAGUUACGAUUAAUAGGAGUAGCUUGGGGACAUUCGUAUUCAGAUGUCAGAGGUGAAAUUCUUAGAUUUUCUGGAGACGAACAACUGCGAAAGCAUUUGUCUAAAAUACUUCCAUUAAUCAAGAACGAAAGUUAAGGGAGUGAAGACGAUCAGAUACCGUCGUAAUCUUAACCAUAAACUAUGCCGACUAGGUGUUGGAUGAAAGUGUUAAAAAUAAAAGUCAUCUUUCGAGGUGACUUUUAGAUUGCUUCCUUCAGUACCUUAUGAGAAAUCAAAGUCUUUGGGUUCUGGGGCGAGUAUUCGCGCAAGCGAGAAAGUUAAAAGAAUUGACGGAAGGGCACCACCAGGCGUGGAGCUUGCGGCUUAAUUUGACUCAACACGGGGAAACUCACUAGUUUAAGACAAGAGUAGGAUUGACAGAUUAAUAGCUCUUUCUUGAUUUCUUGGAUGGUGAUGCAUGGCCGUUUUUAGUUCGUGAAUAUGAUUUGUCUGGUUAAUUCCGAUAACGAACGAGAUCUUAACCUGCUAAUUAGCGGCGAGUACACUAUAUUCUUAUUUGAAAUUGAACAUAGGUAACUAUACAUUUAUUCAGUAAUCAAAUUAGGAUAUUUUUAUUAAAAUAUCCUUUUCCCUGUUCUACUAAUAAUUUGUUUUUUACUCUAUUUCUCUCUUCUUUUAAGAAUGUACUUGCUUGAUUGAAAAGCUUCUUAGAGGAACAUUGUGUGUCUAACACAAGGAAGUUUAAGGCA
Molecule: ribosomal RNA, 1628 nt
Filed under: Plasmodium falciparum (malaria parasite P. falciparum)
Lineage: Eukaryota; Apicomplexa; Aconoidasida; Haemosporida; Plasmodiidae
Description: SSU rRNA
Rfam family: Eukaryotic small subunit ribosomal RNA
Source: RNAcentral